GGGUUGUGAGGUUAAGCGACUAAGCGUACACGGUGGAUGCCCUGGCAGUCAGAGGCGAUGAAGGGCGUGCUAAUCUGCGAUAAGCGCCGGUAAGGUGAUAUGAACCGUUAUAACCGGCGAUACCCGAAUGGGGAAACCCAGUGUGACUCGUCACACUAUCAUUAACUGAAUCCAUAGGUUAAUGAGGCGAACCGGGGGAACUGAAACAUCUAAGUACCCCGAGGAAAAGAAAUCAACCGAGAUUCCCCCAGUAGCGGCGAGCGAACGGGGAGGAGCCCAGAGCCUGAAUCAGCAUGUGUGUUAGUGGAAGCGUCUGGAAAGGCGCGCGAUACAGGGUGACAGCCCCGUACACAAAAGCGCAUGUGCUGUGAGCUCGAUGAGUAGGGCGGGACACGUGGUAUCCUGUCUGAAUAUGGGGGGACCAUCCUCCAAGGCUAAAUACUCCUGACUGACCGAUAGUGAACCAGUACCGUGAGGGAAAGGCGAAAAGAACCCCGGCGAGGGGAGUGAAAAAGAACCUGAAACCGUGUACGUACAAGCAGUGGGAGCACCCUUUGGGUGUGACUGCGUACCUUUUGUAUAAUGGGUCAGCGACUUAUAUUCUGUAGCAAGGUUAACCGAAUAGGGGAGCCGGAGGGAAACCGAGUCUUAAUUGGGCGU
This 660-nucleotide ribosomal RNA is filed under the name Salmonella enterica subsp. enterica serovar Enteritidis. RNAcentral's name for it is "partial 23S ribosomal RNA". It matches the Rfam family "Bacterial large subunit ribosomal RNA", at positions 1 to 695 of the family's 2925-position model. The record is from RNAcentral. Lineage: Bacteria; Pseudomonadati; Pseudomonadota; Gammaproteobacteria; Enterobacterales; Enterobacteriaceae.